GGUAAUGUCAGCUAAUAUAAAGCUAUUAGGCCCAUACCCUGCACAUGAUGGCGAGACUCCGUCCACUACCA
This 71-nucleotide transfer RNA is filed under the name Diaphus theta (California headlightfish). RNAcentral's name for it is "tRNA-Met". The record is from RNAcentral. Lineage: Eukaryota; Metazoa; Chordata; Actinopteri; Myctophiformes; Myctophidae.